AACGAACGCUGGCGGCAGGCUUAACACAUGCAAGUCGAGCGCCCCGCAAGGGGAGCGGCAGACGGGUGAGUAACGCGUGGGAAUCUACCCAUCACUACGGAACAACUCCGGGAAACUGGAGCUAAUACCGUAUACGUCCUUCGGGAGAAAGAUUUAUCGGUGAUGGAUGAGCCCGCGUUGGAUUAGCUAGUUGGUGGGAUAGUGGCCUACCAAGGCGACGAUCCAUAGCUGGUCUGAGAGGAUGAUCAGCCACACUGGGACUGAGACACGGCCCAGACUCCUACGGGAGGCAGCAGUGGGGAAUAUUGGACAAUGGGCGAAAGUCUGAUCCAGCCAUGCCGCGUGAGUGAUGACGGCCCUAGGGUUGUAAAGCUCUUUCGCAGGUGAAGAUAAUGACGGUAACCUGAGAAGAAGCCCCGGCUAACUUCGUGCCAGCCGCCGCCGUAA
This 447-nucleotide ribosomal RNA is filed under the name uncultured bacterium. Its description in RNAcentral is "partial 16S ribosomal RNA". It matches the Rfam family "Bacterial small subunit ribosomal RNA", at positions 29 to 523 of the family's 1533-position model. The record is from RNAcentral.